CGGCACAAACAUCAUAAUCUGAAAAAGAAAAGUGUGAACGCACAUCAACCAGAAGACGAGUUGGUUAACUCAGCCCUGGCCUAGAAGAGACUUUCUGAGCUGUACCCUGCUCAAGGUCAAUAUGAAGUGUGAACAGCUCCAGUCACGAGAGCAUUAACUUUUUCAAGCCCUGUGGCAGCUUCUAUGCUGACAGAUAAAAUCUCCUUGGCCACAGAGGGAGCCUGACUCUGCUGUGCAGCAUAUGAAGGUUAAACAGGUGGGCUGUCAGGCACUGAUAAAGACAAGGUUGCUAUGACAGGCUCAUGCCAUUCUCACGAUGACCUGGAAAACUGCCCUGGCUAACUAGUCCUUCCCAUAAGCAUGAUUUCAGGCCUGCUUUGCCUCUAUGGAUCAACCUCACAAACUAUCUCUAGUUAAAUAUGUUAUCCUUAACUAAGAAUCAGCUCUAGGCAACCAAAUUCUGUGCUCCUUUUGCUCAAGAGCAAGGGCUCAGCAUGGCCGGCAAAGAGCUGCCUUGUUCUUUGAUCACCAUCACUGAGGAGCAGCCAGGGAAAAGAGGGAAAAGGCAGAGAGGCUAAGUAUCUGUGUUGACUAUAGUGCCCAACAAGCCUUGCUUCCAGAAGCUGUGGUUCCCAGUCUCCCCUGCCAUCCCUGCUUCCCUGGGCCUCCUUUUCUAACUCUUUUAGCUGAUUGCUUUCACUUUCACCUCCACAUCUCUAAAUAGUCAGCUUGCAUUGCUUUUCUGUUAUUUUAAACACUUCUUAUUGGUUUCCAGCUAUGGGGAAGAGAUGCACUUUAGCUUUUUCACUGUUUUCCAUCCUCAACCCUCUAAGCACACCACACUUUCUAUUCCCUCCAUCUGGCCAAUAAUUUUGUUAAAAUUUUAGUUCAAUAAAUCUUUAGCAUUUGUAUUACAAUGACAACAUAAAAGCUAUUAUUUACUGAGUGUAGAAGUAUAGUCUAAUUACUUAUCCUUUCUUAAGAGAACUUUUGAACUUCCCUGGAGUUAAGAGUACUAUCUUAUGUAUUUUGGGGGUGUCAGUUACUGAACUUUGUCUAUCAGCUUCAAAUUCGUCCAACCUAGCUCCCUGAGUUACUUUAUGACAUGAGACUUUGGCAACCAUAUUUCUUCUUGCCAGUUACCAGCCUACUAUGUGCUGAUGUAAGGGAUGCACGGCCUUCCUAUAAUGUAUGAUGUCUCUAAUGUAUGUAGUCCAUUCAUAAGCUCUUUGAAUUUAGUUUUACUGUAACUGAUCUGGCUGGUAUGUUCCAAUGUCAGUUAAGACCUUGUUCUUGGGUUAUCUAGUGUGUCCAGAGACAUGUCCAAAUCGUUGCCUGAGAAAGUAAGUCAUCUGGAACUCAAGGGAAGGGAAAAAGGCUUAGUGUUUGGACAUUCAGUGUGUAAGCAUUUACCGAGUGUCUCCAUUUUCAGUGUUAGACCCUUACUUUCAACUCUGACUGUCCUCCCUGAAUCUCGAGAUCCCCUGGUGUACCCCUCAGAGUCUUGUAUCUUCUGCCUGGUUGUGGACGGGCAAUAUUCUGCCUAUGCUCUAUACAGGACAAGACCUGAGAGUAUAACCUCUUCUUAGACUAUUGGUCAAUCCUUCUGUUUUGAUACCAUUUUCACCCCCAUUUCUGUUUUUGUUUUGUUUUAUUUUUUGAUUUGGUAUAAACUCAGCAGCUUCUUAGUUCUCCCUUGUAUUGGCCAACAGCUUACCCUUCCCAUUCUGCUAAGUAUUUACCACUUCCUGAUCUGUUUUCCAGCUUCCAAGGUCUUCCUUUCUUCUUGACUUUGUGGUAUUAUUCUUUUAUUUUUUGAUUUUUUUCCAUUUUGAAGGGUUUCUGGAGGAAGUAAAGUUAAUGGAUUUAUUCAGCCCUCCAUUUUUUAUGCUGUUUUUCUAAGGUGCUAUCAACUUUCUGUCCACAUAGCUUUUAUCUUUUAAAUGUAUCUAUUUUUUAUGCUUUGUGUCCUAUUUCUUCUGCCAGCAUUCUAAUGCAGAUCUUCAGACAUUCCCACCUACAUAGGAUUCUCAUCCCAAGAUAUUGCACCUUUAAAUGCAUUCAACAUUACACUUUCUGACUACCCUCCCUAAUGCAUAGUGCUGUGUAUGUCACCUCUUGCUCCAAAAAUUCUAAGCUCUAUAUAGGUUGAACAUACCUAAUCUGAAAAUCUGAAAUCCAAAACUCUUUGAGCAUUUCAGAUUUUCGGAUUAGGGAUGCUUAACUAGUAAACUCUACACAAAUAUUCCCAAAUCCCCAAACAGCAUAACAUGUCAGGUCCCAAGCACUUUAUAUAAGGGCUACUGAACAUAUACUAAUCAACACCUACCUCAAUGGUCCAUUCUUGCAUUUGAGGUCUGGCAUUAUAUUCCUUGAGAUUUUUCUACCCGUAAAACUCUUCUAUGAGGUCCUUUGACUCCAGAAACCCAAACUCUCUUCUUCAUCCUUGAUCAGAACCAUCUUUUCUUACUUCUAUGCUUUUGUCUAUUAUUUUCACCUCUAGUAAUGUCCAAUUAACACUUCUACCUGUGCUCUCACACUUCAUAAUUACUGGUAUCCUACCUAGUUUUCAAGUACCACUGUAAAUGUCCCCCACCCCACUGGAAGGCUUCCUCGAUCUCCCCAGUAAUGUCUGCUUGGUCCUCUCCACACUCACAGGACUUCAUCCCCUCAUUUAUGGAAUGCCUACCCUCUCAAUUUGCUGCUAUCUGGGGUUCUUUAAGCCCCUAUUUCCUAAAAUACUGACAACAGUAAUACCUACUUCAUGGUGCUUUUACAAAGAUGAAAUUAUGUACACACAACUUCAAAUUUAAAUUUUUUGAAUUUAAAAUUUUGAGACAGGGUCUUGCUAAGUCUCUUACUUUUCUGUUGUGUUCCUGCUAGUUCUUAAGAUUAUUUGGCUACCUGGAAGGGACUAUGUCCCCUGGAGUAACCAGCACCCUGGCCUCCCCAUGAUUUAUGUUCAAUUCAUUACUGUGGGGCUAGAAUAAAUCAGAUUAUCCUAUCACCUGGCCAAUCAAGAGAUCAUUUACAGCAGGGGUGGGAAAACUUUUUCUGGAAAGGAGGCAGAUCAUAUCUUAGCUUUGUAGGCCUCUGUUGCAAUUACUAAACUCUACUGUUGUCAUCCAAAAGCAGCCACAGACAAUGAGUAAGCAUGGCUGUGUUGCAAUACAACUUCAUUUUCAGAAUCCAUGUGGUGGGACAGAUGUGACUCACAGGCUGUAGUUCACUACCCAUCUGUUACUUAGAGUAACAAAUAUGAGGAAGCAACACUUCUAAAAAUUUCAAUUCUCAAUCAUCAGUUAGUGCCUAUCUGUUUAGAAACUCUAGUGUCUUUCUGCAAUCUAUGAUGGUAAUUUUAUGAGUCUGGGGCAAGGUUCACCAGAAAGAUGUACAUGCUGUGUAUCAGUGUUCAAUAUGUUGUGCAAUUUCUCCCAUAAUCAGGAUUCACAGGACCAGGAAUCAUGGGGUAAAAAUGGGAGUGGCACCGCUCACAACUGCCCCUACUGAUCCACUAGCAAAAUGUUUGCUUUUGGUUCCCGUAACUUUACACAUAGUUGGAAAAGGAGGAACACUGCUACCAGGAGAGUGAAUAAUAAUUCACUGAACAGUGAUCUGGCCACUGGGCUCCUCAUGCAUCUGCAUCACCUGGCAAAAAGGCAGUCGCUGUGGUGGGGUGAUUGUAUCUAACAAGGGGAAACUACUGUUACUCCACGAUAGAGGUAAGGACAAGUGUGUCUGGAAUACAAGGAACACUGGAGGGAGUCUUUGUGUUACUAUGUUCCGAAACUAAAGUCAGUAGAAAACUAUAAUAAAAUCUCCACUCAGGCAGGACUAAAGUCUUAGACACUGUGGGAAGGAAGGUUUGGGUUACCUGACCAAGAAAAGAGCUACGACCAGGUGAGGUACUUGCUGAGGGGAAAGGGAAUAGGGCUGGUUAGUGGAAGAAGGUAGUUAUAAAUAGCAGCAAUGACUAUAUGACCAGUUGCAGAAAAAAAGAACUUUGUCAUGAAUAUUUAUUUUUUAUGAAUGUUUGCACAUAUGUAAAUAUCCUUGUUUUCCCCUUACAUCAUAAGAUGUAUUAACUUUAUAUAAAUACUGUCAAUUUUAACACAGUAGUUAAAUUAUAACAUAUCAAGGACAAAAACAAACAUCAUGUUGCAUCGUCUUCUAGGGAAAGGGUUAGUGCAUUUUUACAUGGGGCAUUUCCAUCAUGCGGGGGGGAUUAUGACCUUGUUAUGGUCUUUACUUGAGAUCAAGUAAGGCUUAAGAUAUGUACAGAUGCCAAGUUGACAAAGGGUAGAUCUGUGAUGUUCAUUUUAUGCAUCAACUUGGCUAGGUCAAAGUUCCCAGAUAUUUGGCCAAUAUACAGAUUACUAGAUGUUUCUGUGUGGGACUGACUUGAUUGACAGACUGAUUGUGGUACCAGGAAUUGAACUCAGUGUUUUCACACUGAGCUACAUUCCCAGUCCAUUUUUAAAAUUUUGAGACAAGGUCUUGUUAAGUCACUAAAUUGCCCAGGUUUUUCUUGAGCUUGAGAUCCUUCUGCCUCAGCUUCCUAGAAUGCUGGGAUUAUAGGCAUGUGUCAUACCUGGCUGUGUAGGUAUUUUUCAAAUGAGAUUAACAUUUAAAUCAGUAGAUAUUUGGUAAAGCAGAUUGUGCUCCCUAAAUGAGGCCUCACCCCAUGAGCUGAAAGCGUAAAAGAGAAAAGACUGACUUCCUUUGAUGAAGAGGGAAUUCUGUCAGGAGACUGCCUUUGGACUUGAACAGCAGCAUCAACUAUUCUGUGUCUCCAGACUACCAGCUUAUCUGAAGAUCUUGGAUUUGAACUUCUACAAUCCCAUAAGCCAAUCUCCUAAAAUAAAUCUAAAAAUUUG
This is a non-coding RNA of Heterocephalus glaber (naked mole-rat), 4877 nucleotides long. The record is from RefSeq and is a predicted model, not a curated record. NCBI's taxonomy places the organism in Eukaryota, Metazoa, Chordata, Mammalia, Rodentia, Bathyergidae.